GUGCUAGUUUCAGCAGCACAUAUACUAAAAUUGGGAUGAGACAGAGAUUAGAAUAUCCCUGCAUAAGGAUGACAUGCAGAGUCAUGAAGAAUUUCAUAUUUUA
This is a small nuclear RNA of Callithrix jacchus (white-tufted-ear marmoset), 103 nucleotides long. The record is from Ensembl. NCBI's taxonomy places the organism in Eukaryota, Metazoa, Chordata, Mammalia, Primates, Cebidae.